AGCGAACGCUGGCGGCAGGCUUAACACAUGCAAGUCGAGCGCCUGUAGCAAUACAGGAGCGGCAGACGGGAGAGUAACACGUGGGAAUAUGCCCUUCGGUUCGGAAUAACUCAGGGAAACUUGAGCUAAUACCGGAUACGCCCUUACGGGGAAAGAUUUAUUGCCGAAGGAUUAGCCCACGUCCGAUUAGCUAGUUGGUGAGGUAACGGCUCACCAAGGCGACGAUCGGUAGCUGGUCUGAGAGGAUGAUCAGCCUCAUUGGGACUGAGACACGGCCCAAACUCCUACGGGAGGCAGCAGUGGGGAAUAUUGGACAAUGGGCGCAAGCCUGAUCCAGCCAUGCCGCGUGGGUGAUGAAGGCCCUAGGGUUGUAAAGCCCUUUCGGCGGGGACGAUAAUGACGGUACCCGCAGAAGAAGCCCCGGCUAACUUCGUGCCAGCCGCUGCCGUAA
This 451-nucleotide ribosomal RNA is filed under the name uncultured bacterium. RNAcentral describes it as "partial 16S ribosomal RNA". It matches the Rfam family "Bacterial small subunit ribosomal RNA", at positions 29 to 523 of the family's 1533-position model. The record is from RNAcentral.